UGGACAGAUUAUUGUAUUCGACUGUAUCCACGGCGUGAAACAGGGGAUUACACUGUUUUUAAACAGAAGUAAAACCAUUAACAUAAUAGACUCCU
Nicotiana attenuata is the source of this 95-nucleotide microRNA precursor. It matches the Rfam family "MIR6152 microRNA precursor family". Lineage: Eukaryota; Viridiplantae; Streptophyta; Magnoliopsida; Solanales; Solanaceae. The record is from Rfam.